UGAGCAACCUACCUUCAGCUUUGGGAUAACCCUCGGAAACGGGGCUAAUACCGGAUAUUCAUUGCUUCGCGCAUGUGGGGUGGUGGAAAGUUCUUCGGCUGGGGAUGGGCUCGCGGCCUAUCAGCUUGUUGGUGGGUNAUGGCCUACCAAGGCACGACGGGUANCUGGUCUGAGAGGAUGGCCAGCCACAUUGGGACUGAGACACGGUCCAGACUCCUACGGGAGCA
Molecule: ribosomal RNA, 227 nt
Filed under: uncultured bacterium
Lineage: Bacteria
Description: partial 16S ribosomal RNA
Rfam family: Bacterial small subunit ribosomal RNA
Source: RNAcentral